UUGUCUCACCUCGAUUUUGCCCAUACAAAAAUGGGAGAAGUUGGGAAAAGUCAGGAGUUUGAACCGACUUCUCCCAUUUUCACCUAACUUCUCCCAAAUUUGUAUGGGCAAAAUCGAGGUGAGACAAA
Molecule: microRNA precursor, 128 nt
Filed under: Anopheles sinensis
Lineage: Eukaryota; Metazoa; Arthropoda; Insecta; Diptera; Culicidae
Description: microRNA MIR158
Source: RNAcentral